This 418-nucleotide ribosomal RNA is filed under the name uncultured Alphaproteobacteria bacterium. RNAcentral's name for it is "bacterial SSU rRNA". It matches the Rfam family "Bacterial small subunit ribosomal RNA", at positions 9 to 445 of the family's 1533-position model. The record is from RNAcentral. Lineage: Bacteria; Pseudomonadati; Pseudomonadota; Alphaproteobacteria.
GAGUUUGAUCAUGGCUCAGAACGAACGCUGGCGGCAGGCCUAACACAUGCAAGUCGAGGGGGAAGCCACUUUCGGGUGGUGGAGACCGGCGCACGGGUGAGUAACGCGUGGGAAUUUACCUUGGAGUGGGAAUAACCGCUGGAAACGGCGGCUAAUACCGCAUACGCCCUUAUGGGGAAAGCUUUAGCGCUCUGGGAUGAGCCCGCGUUAGAUUAGGUAGUUGGUGGGGUAAAGGCCUACCAAGCCUGCGAUCUAUAGCUGGUCUGAGAGGAUGAUCAGCCACACUGGGACUGAGACACGGCCCAGACUCCUACGGGAGGCAGCAGUGGGGAAUAUUGGACAAUGGGGGCAACCCUGAUCCAGCCAUGCCGCGUGCGUGAAAAAAGGCCUAGGGUUGUAAANGCGCUUUCCCCUGGUG